UGGGGAAUAUUGCACAAUGGGAGCAAGCCUGAUGCAGCCAUGCCGCGUGAUGUGAAGAAGGCCUUCGGGUUGUAAAGCACUUUCAGUAGGAGGAAAGGUUAGUAGUUAAUACCUGCUAGCUGUGACGUUACUUACAGAAAAAGCACCGGCUAACUCCGUGC
Molecule: ribosomal RNA, 161 nt
Filed under: uncultured Pseudoalteromonas sp.
Lineage: Bacteria; Pseudomonadati; Pseudomonadota; Gammaproteobacteria; Alteromonadales; Pseudoalteromonadaceae
Description: partial 16S ribosomal RNA
Rfam family: Bacterial small subunit ribosomal RNA
Source: RNAcentral